Molecule: unclassified non-coding RNA, 332 nt
Filed under: soil metagenome
Description: partial contains 5.8S ribosomal RNA, internal transcribed spacer 2, and large subunit ribosomal RNA
Rfam family: 5.8S ribosomal RNA (bases 1-120)
Source: RNAcentral
GAUGAAGAACGCAGCGAAAUGCGAUAAGUAGUGUGAAUUGCAGAAUUCAGUGAAUCAUCGAAUCUUUGAACGCACAUUGCGCCCUUUGGUAUUCCUUAGGGCAUGCCUGUUCGAGCGUCAUUUAAACCUUCAAGCUCAGCUUGGUGUUGGGUGACUGUCCGCUUCACCGCGGACUCGCCUCAAAAUUAUUGGCGGCCGGUACAUUGGCUUCGAGCGCAGCAGAAACGCGAACUCGGGCCCGUCGUAUUGGCUCCCAGAAGCUAUCUUCACAAUUUUGAGCUCGGAUCAGGUAGGGAUACCCGCUGAACUUAAGCAUAUCAAUAAGCGGAGGA